Molecule: unclassified non-coding RNA, 299 nt
Filed under: Hevea brasiliensis (rubber tree)
Lineage: Eukaryota; Viridiplantae; Streptophyta; Magnoliopsida; Malpighiales; Euphorbiaceae
Source: RNAcentral
GGGACAAUGCAGGAAUCACAUAAUUCAGGUUCAAAGAAAGGUUAUUCAAGCAGUGAGGUAAAGAUUGAAGGAGACAAGAAGCUUCCUUUGAACAAACCAAGUGAGACUUCUAUUAGCCAGACCGCCACUCUAGUGGGAGAUGAGGGCAAGGAAGAGAUAAAAGCCGAAGACAUUCAACUUAGCGAGCCAAACAAUGUUCCGUCAACUGUUUUAGCAACUCAGAAUGCUGAAAUAGCUGAGGGCAGGGGUCAUCAGAUGGAAGAUGCAGUUUCUGGUUCACGCACGGAAGAGAAACUAGU